CUGCGUCACACAUCCAGGGGCCUAAAAUACAGUAUGCUACGUGGCGACGAAAGGUAGAGCUUCCGUAACAUCAGGAAGUGAACUGUUUUAAGCAUUUUAAAACGCUUCAUUGCUGUACGGAGAUGGUUGUUACUAUAGGGUCAACAAGCAUGGAUUCCAUUGCCACAUGCAACACAUGUAGUUCACUGUCAACAACCACCUUACAGAAAACACUGCCUAGAUCUGCCACUUAUCUAACAUACGCAGUUCACUGUCAACAACCUCCCAACAGAAAACACCGCCACCUGCAUGUGCCAUUCUGAAACAGAGUAGCUUCAGGAUUUUGAUUUGAAAGAUGUUCUUAUGAAGAUUUGUUGGCACAGACAACAUCUGGAUGUGGAUGAAAUACUGUUCAACAAUCCAAUGGAGUCAAACGGACAGAUUGAUGUCUGUGAAUGGAAGAUCUAAUCAGAUAAAUGUUGUUAAUCCAUUAUCUACUGUCUCAGUAGUAGGCUUAUGUUUCCUACAACCGUGGUUGAGAUGUGAUUGAGCAUUUCAGAUGUACAGCCUAUAUCAGUUGUUGUUUAAAGCUUUGCCCAGGUGUUCACAUUAUCUUUGAAAAAUAAGGUGUUGAUUGCCAAUUAUAUGCAGUCAUGAUGUGCCUAUAUGUUCAUGAUUUGAUGUCACUAUGAUCAUAUUUAGGUAUAUUUUUGUUAACAAAAAUCUGAUAGCCUGGGCAAGGCUUUAAACUAAGAACAUGUGAGACAACCAUUCAUAUCUGCUAUGAUAAGCCUUGUCAAUGAAUUGAAGGUAUUAUACGUAAACUUAAUAAUUGUCCUUUAACCAUGCAUUGUGGACACAAUAUCAAUUGUAGCACACAGAACACAACUCAAAUUCGAUAGCGAACUGUACCUCAAUCCAGAUAACUGUUAGGUAAAGCUUAUACUAUCCAUCUUUGCUCUUAUGCCAGUUUUCUGUUUAUAUCAGUCAGUACAUCAUUCAUCAACAGUUUCGUUUCUAAAGGAAGCGCAUGCCCCCAAAAGAACUACUUGUCUUCCCCUCCCCCCACCAGAAUCUUGGCUUGUAGUUAUAGAUUACCUCAAAUCACCUUAUUUUCCAAACUGGCUCUCCUCAUUACCUAAUCAUCAAGCCCUACUUCAUCUUCAUCCCCCUCCCCCGCAAAUUGAUUUUGUCCAUCAGUUUUUCUUUGUAUUUGUGCAUCAGGCUAGUCACAUUAGCAUAUCACCUGUAGUACAAACCCUUUUUACAGGCUCCAUGGUUCUCAGUGCUUUGUGAUGUUAUAAAAGGUAAAGGGAACAGAAUAACAUGACGCAUUCCAUAUAUUGUCUCUGCUGUCAGCCGUUUUUCGUUCACUGUUUCUCUCCUCGCAGAUUGCAAACAUAGGUCUGCUCACCAGCAUCACUUAGUCAACUGCUUCUCUCAUCACUGAUUACAAACAUAAUUACGCUCACCAGCAGUACGUAGUCAACACCUUCUCUCGUCGCAACUUGAAAAACAAUUCUGCUCAUCGGCAGCACGUAGUCAACAUCUUUUCUCGUUGCAACAUGCAACAUUAAUUCUGCUCACUGUGAGCACGUAGUCCACAGCUUCUAUCGUCACUGAUUAUAAACCAUAAUUCUGCUCAUCGGCAGCACUUGGUCCACAGUUUCUGUCGUCACUGAUUACAAACAUAAUUCUUCUCAAUGGCAAUAUGUUGUCGACACCUUCUCUCGUCGCAACUUGAAAAACAAUUCUGCUCAUCAGCAGCACGUAGUCGACAACUUUUCUCGUCGCCACAUUAAUUCUGCUCACUGUGAGCACGCAGUCGACGCUUUCUCUUGUCGCAACUUGAAAAACAAUUCUGUUCAUCGGCAGCACGUAAUCAACAUCUUUUCUCGUCGCAACAUGCAACAUUAAUUCUGCUCACUGUGAGCACGUAGUCCACAGCUUCUAUCGUCCCUGAUUACAAACCAUAAUUCUGCUUAUCGGCAGCACUUGGUCCACAGUUUCUGUCGUCACUGAUUACAAACAUAAUUCUUCUCAAUGGCAAUAUGUUGUCGACACCUUCUCUCGUCGCAACUUGAAAAACAAUUCUGCUCAUCAGCAGCACGUAGUCGACAACUUUUCUCGUCGCCACAUUAAUUCUGCUCACUGAGCACGUAGUCGACUCCUUCUCUUGUUACAAAUUGCAAACAAUUCUGCUCACCGGCAUCACAUAUUCCACUGUUUCUGUCAUCGCAGAUUGCAAACAUAAUUUUGCUCACUGGCAGCACAUAGUCGACUGUUUCUAUCAUCGCAGAUUGCAAACAUAAUUUCACAGCCGUCAUAUCAGUAAAUACCAUUGUAAACAUUUUAUUUAGCACCCAUCUUAGAGAACCCUGAUCAGAGCAUCUAUGGUUGGUGAUCUUUAUGUAUUUUGUUUGGUGAUGACAAUUGUAAUGACGCAUAAUUCUACUAAUCUUCACAUCUUCCACUGUUUCUGUCGUUGCAGCUUUCAAUUUUCAGCGACGACAUCACGUGAUGCACUGCGGUGCUAAACAAUUGGAUGAUAUUGGGUGGCGCGUGCAGCACAAUGCUAUUUAAUAACGGCACGAGGUUCUACUCACCCAUGUUAUUUCCAUUACUGCUUCUGUCUUCGCAGGUUUCAAAUUUCAGCGACGACAUCACGUAGUGCGCUCUUGACAAUUUUACAGCAAAAUAUGAUGUCUAUCAGUGAAUACCACUGAAUAUAUUCAACACCCAUCUUUGAAUACCUGCCUCUGCCAGGCCGGAACUUGAUGUGUUUUUAUUCUAAAAAAUAUAUGUCCUCACCUUCCUUCCAACAAAUUACCAAUUUUACUAUCUUAAAUAUAAUUUGUGUGGUGAUGUCAAUUUGUCAGUAUCGUAUACAGUAUGCUUAAUGUGGCCAAUUUAGUUUAAUAGACGGCACUUAGUAUUCUUGUGUUAAAAGGUAUUUACUCCAUGUUUAACAGUAAAUUCUUUUGAAUCUCUAUUGCAACCUCUAAACAAUCUGACGAGAUUGCAUGGCGUGUACAGCACAAUGUUACGUACAAUAACGGCACAAAGUUAUAUUUUUCCAUCAUCUACUGUUUCUGUCGUUGCAGCUUUCAAUUUUCAGCGACGACAUCACGUGAUGCACUGCGGUGCUAAACAGUUUGAUGAUAUUGGGUGGCGCGUGCAGCACAAUGCUAUUUAAUAACUGCAUGAGAUUCUACUCACCCAUGUUAUUUCCGUUACUGCUUCUGUCCUCGCAGGUUUCAAAUUUCAGCGACGACAUCACGUAGUGCGCUCUUGACAAUUUUACAGCAAAAUAUGAUGUCUAGAUCAUGACGAGAUCAUGUGGCGCUCACAGCGUAAUGUUAUAUAUAACGCCACAAAUUUUUGUUCACCAUCGGCACGUCAUCCACUGUUUCUGUAGCCGCUGAUUUUAAUUUUUCAGCUGUGACAUCAUGUGAUGCAUUGCAGCUUCUAAAUAAACUGAGAUGAGAUCAUGUGGUGCUCACAGCAUAAUGUUUUAUAUAAUGCCACUAAGAUCUGUUUAUCCCUUUCACGUAGUCCACGGCUUCUGUCGUCGCAGAUUUUAAUUCUUCACCGAUGACAUCACGUGAUGCAUUGCAGCUUCUAAAUAAACUGAGAUGAGAUCAUGUGACGCUCACAGCAUAAUGUUUUAUAUAAUGCCACUAAGAUCUGUUCAUCCCUUUCACGUAGUCCACAGCUUCUGUCGUCGCAGAUUUUAAUUCUUCACCGAUGACAUCACAUGAUGUGUUGCAGCUUCUAAAUAAACUGAGAUGAGAUCAUGUGACGCUCACAGUGGAAUGUUACGUAUAACGCCACAAAGUUAUACAUGAAACAACAAAAUAUGAUGUGUAUCAGUGAAUACCACUGAACAUUUUACUCGUAAUUCAACAACAAUCUUAAUAUACCAGCCUCUGCCAGGCUGGACUGACUUUGGCAGUCCUUCCUUUGUUUGUAUCACCAAAAUUAUGUCUUUGUCUUUCAUUCUAUAAACUACCAUUUCUGAAGAUAUUAUGACAAGUUCUACAGUUUGUGAGCUGAUUUGAAUACUGUACUGUACAUGUAUUUGUAUUGAAACCUCUGUUUGUAUUGAAACCUCUUAAUUUAUAAAAUACCACAUUUUUUUUUUCCUUAACAUCCAGUAGUAAUAUCCAAUUCAUUAUUUGUCUGGCGUGGAUCGUCUUGAAUACGUCUGAGACUCCACAUUCUCAACAUCUUCCCUAUGAAGUCCUCAGAAGGCAUGAUCUGUAUUAGAGCACUUAGCUUAGAAACUAGUUUUUAAUAGGUCUGUUUGAAAUGCAAUACAUUCUUUAUUUCCUAAUCAAAUUCUAUUCAAAAUUUAGGUGCUUAAACUCGUUGCUAAUAAUUUGCAUUCGUAAAAGCAGAAACUACUUACUGCAUUUGACUUGGAUUUGAUAGGUUACUCCGCAACACUUCAAACUUGAAGUCAAGUGCGAAGGAUGAUGAGUGAACCACUGAGGUAUUUACUGCCUGAGGUUUGAUGGUCUGAGGUGGUUGGUCAAAUCUUCUUUAAUGCUAUUGGUGAUAAGCUAAUGAUGUUUUUGGGAAGAGUAUUCCACUGCAUAUUUAACUUUAAAAAGUUCAUCAAUUCAAUUAUAACACCAAAUUAAUAUUUAUUAAUCGUUGAUGAUUUACAUAAUUUAUUUUUCCUGUUAAUCCAAAUCAAAACAUUUAGAAUUUUCAAACUUUAUUUUUGGAUGAACAUUAAUGUUGUACAAAUCUGCUUGUAUGUUAUGGAACUCUCCAAACAGAAUCUAUACAUUAUAUCAAAAUGUAACAAAUAUAGAAAUACAUCCAACUGUCACCUCAAGAGAGGUGAAUAUGUUUAAUGUGUGUUUUUUUUUACAACAUAUUCAAACAUUGGUCAGAUAUUAGAUAUUAUCAUGAAUUACUUUUAAAUUCUAUUUUUACAUUUAGAUUCUCUUUGUUUUUAUACUUAAAUUGUUCUUUUCCUUCUGUAAGUUUUUAUUGAAAUAUCAGUUUUGUUUCUCUAAUAACUUCCAAAUAGCUCUUUCUGUGAAUGUGUAAUAAUCCUACUAUUUCCACCAGCUGUAAAUUCAAAAACAUAACAAAAAUUUCGUAAAUUUGAAAGAUAUUCCAUUUUGUGCAUAAAUCUGUGAUUAUUUCUUUAGCCAUCAAAUAAUAAUGUGCUCUAAUGCUCAUUAGUUGAUAACCAGCAAUUGUCUAUUUCAUCAGUAAUAUCAAAUAAAAUUACUGAAGCAAGUAUUUCUUUUUCAAACAAGAUCACCAUUGAAGAAACUGUGCCUGAAAUUGUUCGAAGUCAUGAAAUGUAAUAAGAGUCAUCAUCAUCAUCAAGUGAUCUGCCAACAUGGCAACUACUCCCAGCAUCUCUCCCAAUUUAAAGUCGCUGUCUUUAACUGUAAUAAAAGUUACUUUUUGAAUUAACAUUCUGCCUGAAGGAUCACAUCACCUACCUGUGCUGUGAAAGAGAACAUUGUUUGUACAGCUGUCACAGUGUGCAAGGCCAAAAGAGUUAUACAAGUAGAUGGAGUGCUAUGAGAUUCUGUGACAGUAUGUGUAUUACAACCAUCAUUCUCGACCAGUGUGCCACAAACAAAGAGUUUUUCUUCUCCAAGGCCAUGUCAACACCAUAAGAAUAGCAAACUACCUGAUCUGGAAUCACUGCCUGGAUUUGUUCACCUUUAGCUAGAAAUAGUAAUUAUGAUAAAUUUUUGAUGACAUUUUCUUGCUGAAGAACAUUUGGCCUUGGAGGUACAGUAGAAAAAAAGAACUGAAAAUACAUAGCAGUUGCCUUGUAUUUACAUGUCACAAAUAUCAAAAUUGCCAACCUAUACGAACAGUUCCUGUGCCAGAUAACAGCUACCAUAACAUCAAGUAAUGCAGUUUGAAUAAACCACAGUGGGCAGACACAAAAUUGGUUAACACAACCAUAACCUGUGGAAUUGUCUUGAAAACAAAAUCAUCGGAUUGUACCCGAGACCUGUUAUUAUUGAUUAUACUAUACGAUAUACGCUACAUUAAAAUUAUAGUAAUUGAUGAUUGUAUCAGAAAACUGUAUACUGAGGUAACACAAUGAACAAAUUGGUACAGUCCUGAUACCGUACACUACUUCAUUGAUGGACUUUUGAAGAAAAGUGCAGCAAGUUAUACCUGAUUGACUAAAAGCAAAUUUUACUUUCUAAACAGCUUGGCAUCAAGGAUAAUAAAAUAAAAAACAGUUGCUGGUUUUCAGUGAUGGCAAGAGAACGUCAUAAAUUUUAAAAAUAGGAAUGAAUUUGAUAAUUAAGGAACAACAACAUCAAAUAACAGUCAAUUAAACUCAACUGUUAUAAAUUACAGAGCAUAUUAAUAGGAAAAUUGAAUUUAAUGCUGGUGGUCUUCUAAUUUUUAAUAAACUUAUUUCGUUUAAACUGUUUCGUUUUUCCCAUGCAUGUAACUUGAUAAACUUUAAACAUACUGAUUCUUAUUAUCUUAAAGCAACAAUUACAGACUGUUAAUACUUGGCAGAAAUUUACAUGUACAGUAACUACCAAAAAAAAAUCUUGUAGUGCUACCAGUAUCUACACCAAUUGUUCCAUUGCAAUUAUUACUUGAAUUAAACUUUGAAGAUAAGAAAACAGAUGGCAAAAAUUAACAUUAAUUUAAUUAUAACCAAAUUACUAGUUUAUGCAAAAACAAAUUUUUAAACUUUCUAUUUAGAACAUUGUUCCUUGCAACAUAUAAUUAGUUUCCUGUCAUUUCAAUUUCACUGUGUCAUUGUGCUUGUCAUAAUUUAUUUUCAAUCGUUGUUAUGGUUAUACAUUGUAGGUGUUUAACCUGUACCCUCCUUAACAAAAAUGCUCCUAUAUUUUUAUCAUUUUGGUACAGGUAUUGGCAUGCAGUAAGUGGAUGUGAAUAUGUUUGACAUAUAAUUACAAUCCUAAAGCCAUGUUUGCUCAAUCAAAAGGCAUUGUGCACUCUUCAUUUGACUUUUGAUUCUUUGUCAUUAUCUCAACUGCAUUUCAUAUUCCAGCACACAGCUUGGACUGUUUCAUAUUGUUAAUAAAAUUUUACCAAAAAUAUGUAAGGCCCAUUAAAAAACAAAUUAUUAGUUAA
This is a long non-coding RNA of Anneissia japonica, 7092 nucleotides long. RefSeq lists it as uncharacterized. NCBI's taxonomy places the organism in Eukaryota, Metazoa, Echinodermata, Crinoidea, Comatulida, Comatulidae. The transcript is spliced from 3 exons. The record is from RefSeq and is a predicted model, not a curated record.